This 274-nucleotide microRNA precursor is filed under the name Oryza sativa Indica Group (long-grained rice). RNAcentral's name for it is "MIR821 microRNA precursor family". It matches the Rfam family "MIR821 microRNA precursor family". The record is from Rfam by way of RNAcentral. Lineage: Eukaryota; Viridiplantae; Streptophyta; Magnoliopsida; Poales; Poaceae.
GAUUUCAACUGAAAAAGUUAUCAACAACAAAGUUGAAUAACUCAUCAAGAUCUAAAACUUUUAUUUUGGUCAUUUUUUCAUUUGAUAAAGUAUAGUAACAUUGUUCACAAAAUUGACAUAUCUCUUAUCUGGUUUUAUAAACUAUAACACAUAUAUGUAAAAUUUGUGAACAAUGUUACUAACAUUUUAUCAGAUGAAGAAACGACCAAAAUAAAAGUUUUAGAUCUUGAUGAGUUAUUUAACUUUGUUAUUGAUAACUUUUUCACUUGAAAUC